RNAcentral lists this ribosomal RNA (406 nucleotides) under uncultured bacterium. RNAcentral's name for it is "bacterial SSU rRNA". It matches the Rfam family "Bacterial small subunit ribosomal RNA", at positions 355 to 776 of the family's 1533-position model. The record is from RNAcentral.
CAGGGGAUCUUGCGCAAUGGACUGUAUGGUCUGACGCAGCGACACCGCGUGGAGGAUGAAUGCUUUAGGGUUGUAAACUCCUUUUCUUAGGGAAGAUGAUGACGGUACCUAAGGAAUAAGCAUCGGCUAACUACGUGCCAGCAGCCGCGGUAAUACGUAGGAUGCGAGCGUUGUCCGGAAUUAUUGGGCGUAAAGGGCGUCUAGGUUGAAUAAUAAGUCCUGUGUGAAAUCUCUUGGCUCAACCAAGAAAUGUCACAGGAAACUAUUAAUCUAGAGGUCAUCAGAGGUAAGUGGAAUUCACGGAGUAGUGGUGAAAUGCGUAGAUACCGUGAGGAACACCAGAGGCGAAAGCGACUUACUAGGAUGAACCUGACACUAAAGCGCGAAAGCGUGGGUAGCAAACCGG